Non-coding RNA from Potamilus streckersoni, 66 nucleotides. NCBI's taxonomy places the organism in Eukaryota, Metazoa, Mollusca, Bivalvia, Unionida, Unionidae. The record is from the annotation of a GenBank genome assembly.
GUUGGCCUAGUGGUAAAGCGUCCGCCUCAGAUGCGGGAGGUCGCGGGUCGAUCCCCGGUCGAGUCA